AGAAAUGGAGAGGGCAUCCAAGGGACUAUUGUGUGAUCCAUUUGCAGUCAUCUGGAGAAAAUCUAAAGAAAAAGUUCAAAAAGUCAACUGAAGAGCACAAAAGAAAUGGUUGGAUCUGAAAUACCAGCCACCUCCAGCAAAAAAUCAAGAAGGAGAAGAAAAAGAGGAACACUGCUGAUACAUUACAGUGAAGUGACUGCCUUUGGUGUUUGGACUGAAUAGUCUUUGAUGAGAGAAGGAACCUAGAGCACUGCCAGCUUUACAGAGACAAAAUAGCCACAUGAGGAGCUGCACUGCAGCUUUUUCACUACACGAGGGCGCUGGAGAUCUACAAGGCUGAGCAUGGCUCACUGUUACAGCCAAAACUGAAACAGCCUAUUUCAGGAGGCCCGGACUUAUUCAACAUUAUGAACUUUGGUGAAAUGAAAUCAGCAGACUCUUCUUUUAAGCCUUUGUUUGUGCCAGGACAAUCAAUCAACAUAUGCUCAGUUUAUAAAGAUUACAAACAUUAAUAUGUGUUUGCAGAUUGUGAUCACAUG
Maylandia zebra (zebra mbuna) is the source of this 539-nucleotide long non-coding RNA. RefSeq lists it as uncharacterized. Lineage: Eukaryota; Metazoa; Chordata; Actinopteri; Cichliformes; Cichlidae. The record is from RefSeq and is a predicted model, not a curated record.